Molecule: ribosomal RNA, 684 nt
Filed under: uncultured bacterium
Lineage: Bacteria
Description: bacterial SSU rRNA
Rfam family: Bacterial small subunit ribosomal RNA
Source: RNAcentral
AUAACAAUUAGAAAUGAUUGCUAAUCCCGCAUAAGACCCCAGUACCGCAUGGUACAGAGGUAAAAACUGAGGUGGUGUAAGAUGGGCCCGCGUCUGAUUAGGUAGUUGGUGGGGUAGAAGCCUACCAAGCCGACGAUCAGUAGCCGACCUGAGAGGGCGACCGGCCACAUUGGGACUGAGACACGGCCCAAACUCCUACGGGAGGCAGCAGUGGGGAAUAUUGCACAAUGGGGGAAACCCUGAUGCAGCGACGCCGCGUGAGUGAGGAAGUAUUUCGGUAUGUAAAGCUCUAUCAGCAGGGAAGAAAAUGACGGUACCUGACUAAGAAGCCCCGGCUAACUACGUGCCAGCAGCCGCGGUAAUACGUAGGGGGCAAGCGUUAUCCGGAUUUACUGGGUGUAAAGGGAGCGUAGACGGAUAAGCAAGUCUGAUGUGAAAAUCCGGGGCCCAACCCCGGAAUUGCAUUGGAAACUGCAUAUCUAGAGUGUCGGAGAGGCAAGUGGAAUUCCUGGUGUAGCGGUGAAAUGCGUAGAUAUCAGGAGGAACACCAGUGGCGAAGGCGGCUUGCUGGACGAUGACUGACGUUGAGGCUCGAAAGCGUGGGGAGCAAACAGGAUUAGAUACCCUGGUAGUCCACGCCGUAAACGAUGACUACUAGGUGUCGGGAGGCAAAGCCUUUCGGUG